UGCUGGAGCACACUCAGUAUCUAGAUUGAU
RNAcentral lists this non-coding RNA (30 nucleotides) under Rattus norvegicus (Norway rat). The record is from RNAcentral. Lineage: Eukaryota; Metazoa; Chordata; Mammalia; Rodentia; Muridae.